GCUUUAAACUCUGUGGGAAGCCAAGCUCGCUCUCCGUGGUAGCCGGCUACCGUGAAAAGCGGACCCCCUUCCGCUAAAUAGCCCACCAGGAUUUCUAUUCAACCUAUUUAUUGUAUUACACUGGGGUUGCCCCCUUGGGAUGCUCCUUACUGGAACCCUGCUACCAUGUUGAUAGGAAGCCCAAGCUAGCCCCACAAGAGGCUCUGGGACCAUGUGGAGAGAGGUCAGGUUGUUCCAGCCAACCUGUCUAACGGCCCCAUGCUGACAGCCAGCAUGAACUGCCAGCUAUGUGAAUGAGGCCAUUGUGUUUCUUCCAGACAACCUAACACCCCAACACCCCAACUGAUACUGCAAAUAAAUGAAAUUCAUAGCUAUAAUAUGAAUUGUUGUUGUAAUCCA
Long non-coding RNA from Microcebus murinus (gray mouse lemur), 399 nucleotides. RefSeq lists it as uncharacterized. The record is from RefSeq and is a predicted model, not a curated record. NCBI's taxonomy places the organism in Eukaryota, Metazoa, Chordata, Mammalia, Primates, Cheirogaleidae.